RNAcentral lists this transfer RNA (57 nucleotides) under Spirocerca lupi. RNAcentral describes it as "tRNA-Met". The record is from RNAcentral. Lineage: Eukaryota; Metazoa; Nematoda; Chromadorea; Rhabditida; Thelaziidae.
AAUAUAGUAGGAUAAGUUAAAGUCUAUAAGAUUCAUAUUUUUGUGGUUAUUAUAUUU